This 58-nucleotide transfer RNA is filed under the name Ictidomys tridecemlineatus (thirteen-lined ground squirrel). RNAcentral's name for it is "Spermophilus tridecemlineatus (thirteen-lined ground squirrel) tRNA". It matches the Rfam family "tRNA", at positions 8 to 63 of the family's 71-position model. Rfam says of the family: Transfer RNA (tRNA) molecules are approximately 80 nucleotides in length. Their secondary structure includes four short double-helical elements and three loops (D, anti-codon, and T loops). Further hydrogen bonds mediate the characteristic L-shaped molecular structure. tRNAs have two regions of fundamental functional importance: the anti-codon, which is responsible for specific mRNA codon recognition, and the 3' end, to which the tRNAs corresponding amino acid is attached (by aminoacyl-tRNA synthetases). tRNAs cope with the degeneracy of the genetic code in two manners: having more than one tRNA (with a specific anti-codon) for a particular amino acid; and 'wobble' base-pairing, i.e. permitting non-standard base-pairing at the 3rd anti-codon position. Lineage: Eukaryota; Metazoa; Chordata; Mammalia; Rodentia; Sciuridae. The record is from Rfam by way of RNAcentral.
UAGCUCAGUUGGUAGAGUGUUUGCUUAGCAUGCACAAGGCCCUGGGUUCAAUCCCCAG